CAAUGGAGAUGAGGACUCGCUCGGUGAGUCGCUAGGGACCGGGGCGGAGCCGGCUCGGCCUGCAAUGACAAAGGUCAUAACCUCGCGGAAGACACAAGGACAGACGCAGACACAGUCAGGAGACAGCCUGCAGCAGAAGGAGCACGGGAGGAUAACAGCGACAAAAGAGAGGAAUGUGGUGAGAGAAAAGGCGCAUAAGAGCAGACGGCAGUCAAAGGAGAGGAGCUGUGACAAAGGAAGAAUCAUAGAUAGAGAAGGAAUAAAGAUGUGAAGAUAUGGGAUAGAAAGACAGGAGCCGGCUGAUUGGCAUACUGCCCCCCUCCCCCACCAGUAAUAGCCUGCAGAUGGUGAGGUGAUGCCCAACUGGCACCACUUAGGAUCCAAGUCUGGCCCGCAAGGUGGAUGUAGCCCUGCCCGCACAUCGACCUGCACGCCGAGUAUCGCCGGCAACGUCUCAUGGAGGUCUGGACAGAAACCCGGCAUGCACAUAUAACUGCAGCUACAGCAGUACGUGAGGUUACCAUGUGCAGCUUUGCACCCCAUACAAUUAUUUUCUCUUUCAAGUAAGAUAAGCAUUCAUGCUCCUUGUUCUCUACUGUCUUUAGGAUUUUAAUACUGCAUAGUUUUAACCCUGCUAUGUCCAUUUUGGAUGUUAUUUCAUUAUCAGGUCACCGCAACUACCUUUGCUCCAUUACCAGCCAGUUAAAGCCAUUGUCUUGUUAUAAAUAUCUAUGAUUUUUUUACUUCAUCAUCACUGUGGUUUUGCACCUCCAGGGCUGUGGAUUUCAUUACUGGCGAGAGAUUCGGGUGGCUCAGGCUUUCAGCAGGCCAAACACACACACACACACACACACACACACACACACACACACACACAUACACUCACACACAGGGAGAAUCACUGCAAAUUAUUAUAAAAUGCCAAGAUCCAGAUCCUAGGACUUAAAGUCACUGCAUAUGGUCAGACGCAGAAUGAUGACAGACUAAAGGCUAUUAGUGCCUUUUUGUCAGCUGACCUUGCUGGCUAAUCACAUUAAUUUAUUGCAUUCCUUCCUUACUCCAGUCCUCCAAAUGCCCCUGAGCACCAUUUACUGCACUACUACAGAGCAAUGUUCUCAGUCCUAUCUUCUGAGAGCCAAGAAGCUGUCAAACUCAAGCCAGCAGUUUGGUCAACUGGGACCAGGUGCCCUGUGGCCUCUCCAUCCACCCAUGCCCCCCAUCCCUGCCUUCUUGUUCCUCAUUCCCCUCUCAAGAUGAAAGUAUCCAAAUGAUCUGCUCCCUCAGACCCGAAUCCUUUAGGUGGCAUCCUUUAGGUGGUGUGUUGAAUGGUGCAGAGAAAGAAGUAGCUCUGCGGUAGGCAGCCGGACAAAGCUCAAGGCUCUCCCUCCA
Long non-coding RNA from Brienomyrus brachyistius, 1389 nucleotides. RefSeq lists it as uncharacterized. NCBI's taxonomy places the organism in Eukaryota, Metazoa, Chordata, Actinopteri, Osteoglossiformes, Mormyridae. The transcript is spliced from 4 exons. The record is from RefSeq and is a predicted model, not a curated record.